RNAcentral lists this ribosomal RNA (306 nucleotides) under uncultured bacterium. RNAcentral's name for it is "bacterial SSU rRNA". It matches the Rfam family "Bacterial small subunit ribosomal RNA", at positions 28 to 336 of the family's 1533-position model. The record is from RNAcentral.
GACGAACGCUGGCGGCGUGCUUAACACAUGCAAGUCGAGCGGUAAGGCCCUUUCGGGGGUACACGAGCGGCGAACGGGUGAGUAACACGUGGGUGACCUGCCCUCAGCUCUGGGAUAAGCCUGGGAAACCGGGUCUAAUACUGGAUAUGACUCCAUGACGCAUGUUGUGGGGUGGAAAGCCUUGUGCGGCUGAGGAUGGGCCCGCGGCCUAUCAGCUUGUUGGUGGGNGAUGGCCUACCAAGGCGACGACGGGUAGCCGGCCUGAGAGGGCGACCGGCCACACUGGGACUGAGACACGGCCCAGAC